UCCUACGGGGGGCAGCAGUGAGGAAUAUUGGUCAAUGGGCGGGAGCCUGAACCAGCCAAGUCGCGUGAAGGAAGAAGGUACUUCGUAUUGUAAACUUCUUUUGUCGGGGAACAAAGGCGGAGACGCGUCUCCGGAUGAGUGUACCCGAAGAAAAAGCAUCGGCUAACUCCGUGCCAGCAGCCGCGGUAAUACGGAGGAUGCGAGCGUUAUCCGGAUUUAUUGGGUUUAAAGGGUGCGCAGGCGGAAGAUCAAGUCAGCGGUAAAAUUGAGAGGCUCAACCUCUUCGAGCCGUUGAAACUGGUUUU
This 305-nucleotide ribosomal RNA is filed under the name uncultured bacterium. RNAcentral's name for it is "bacterial SSU rRNA". It matches the Rfam family "Bacterial small subunit ribosomal RNA", at positions 337 to 640 of the family's 1533-position model. The record is from RNAcentral.